RNAcentral lists this ribosomal RNA (427 nucleotides) under uncultured prokaryote. Its description in RNAcentral is "bacterial SSU rRNA". It matches the Rfam family "Bacterial small subunit ribosomal RNA", at positions 355 to 774 of the family's 1533-position model. The record is from RNAcentral.
UAGGGAAUCUUCGGCAAUGGGGGGAACCCUGACCGAGCAACGCCGCGUGAGUGAAGAAGGUUUUCGGAUCGUAAAGCUCUGUUGUAAGAGAAGAACGUGUGUGAGAGUGGAAAGUUCACACAGUGACGGUAACUUACCAGAAAGGGACGGCUAACUACGUGCCAGCAGCCGCGGUAAUACGUAGGUCCCGAGCGUUGUCCGGAUUUAUUGGGCGUAAAGCGAGCGCAUGCGGUUUGAUAAGUCUGAAGUAAAAGGCUGUGGCUUAACCAUAGUAUGCUUUGGAAACUGUCAAACUUGAGGGCAGAAGGGGAGAGUGGAAUUCCAUGUGUAGCGGUGAAAUGCGUAGAUAUAUGGAGGAACACCGGUGGCGAAAGCGGCUCUCUGGUCUGUAACUGACGCUGAGGCUCGAAAGCGUGGGGAGCAAACA